GACGAACGCUGGCGGCGUGCUUAACACAUGCAAGUCGAACGGAAAGGCCCUGCUUUUGUGGGGUGCUCGAGUGGCGAACGGGUGAGUAACACGUGAGUAACCUGCCCUUGACUUUGGGAUAACUUCAGGAAACUGGGGCUAAUACCGGAUAGGAGCUCCUGCUGCAUGGUGGGGGUUGGAAAGUUUCGGCGGUUGGGGAUGGACUCGCGGCUUAUCAGCUUGUUGGUGGGGUAGUGGCUUACCAAGGCUUUGACGGGUAGCCGGCCUGAGAGGGUGACCGGCAAAAUUGGGACUGAGAUACGGCCAAGACUCCUACGGGAGGAAGCAGUGGGGAAUAUUGAAAAAUGGGCGGAAGCCUGAUGCAGCAACGCCGCGUGCGGGAUGACGGCCUUCGGGUUGUAAACCGCUUUCGCCGGUGACGAAGCGUGAGUGACGGUAAUGGGUAAAGAAGCACCGGCUAACUACGUG
Molecule: ribosomal RNA, 468 nt
Filed under: uncultured bacterium
Lineage: Bacteria
Description: partial 16S ribosomal RNA
Rfam family: Bacterial small subunit ribosomal RNA
Source: RNAcentral